Molecule: ribosomal RNA, 58 nt
Filed under: Rhodotorula glutinis
Lineage: Eukaryota; Fungi; Basidiomycota; Microbotryomycetes; Sporidiobolales; Sporidiobolaceae
Description: partial 26S ribosomal RNA
Source: RNAcentral
GAUCUCAAAUCAGGUAGGACUACCCGCUGAACUUAAGCAUAUCAAUAAGCCGGAGGAA